GGGAACCCACCUAGGAUAACCUAGGUAUCUUGUACUGAAUCCAUAGGUGCAAGAGGCGAACCAGGGGAACUGAAACAUCUAAGUACCCUGAGGAAAAGAAAUCAACCGAGAUUCCCUUAGUAGUGGCGAGCGAACGGGGAUUAGCCCUUAAGCUUCAUUGAUUUUAGCGGAACGCUCUGGAAAGUGCGGCCAUAGUGGGUGAUAGCCCCGUACGCGAAAGGAUCUUUGAAGUGAAAUCGAGUAGGACGGAGCACGAGAAACUUUGUCUGAACAUGGGGGGACCAUCCUCCAAGGCUAAAUACUACUGACUGACCGAUAGUGAACCAGUACCGUGAGGGAAAGGCGAAAAGAACCCCGGAGAGGGGAGUGAAAUAGAACCUGAAACCGUAUGCGUACAAGCAGUGGGAGCCUACUUGUUAGGUGACUGCGUACCUUUUGUAUAAUGGGUCAGCGACUUAUAUUCAGUGGCAAGCUUAACCGUAUAGGGUAGGCGUAGCGAAAGCGAGUCUUAAUAGGGCGUUUAGUCGCUGGGUAUAGACCCGAAACCGGGCGAUCUAUCCAUGAGCAGGUUGAAGGUUAGGUAACACUGACUGGAGGACCGAACCCACUCCCGUUGAAAAGGUAGGGGAUGACUUGUGGAUCGGAGUGAAAGGCUAAUCAAGCUCGGAGAUAGCUGGUUCUCCUCGAAAGCUAUUUAGGUAGCGCCUCAUGUAUCACUCUGGGGGGUAGAGCACUGUUUCGGCUAGGGGGUCAUCCCGACUUACCAAACCGAUGCAAACUCCGAAUACCCAGAAGUGCCGAGCAUGGGAGACACACGGCGGGUGCUAACGUCCGUCGUGAAAAGGGAAACAACCCAGACCGCCAGCUAAGGUCCCAAAGUUGUGGUUAAGUGGUAAACGAUGUGGGAAGGCUUAGACAGCUAGGAGGUUGGCUUAGAAGCAGCCACCCUUUAAAGAAAGCGUAAUAGCUCACUAGUCGAGUCGGCCUGCGCGGAAGAUGUAACGGGGCUCAAACCACACACCGAAGCUGCGGGUGUCACGUAAGUGACGCGGUAGAGGAGCGUUCUGUAAGCCUGUGAAGGUGAGUUGAGAAGCUUGCUGGAGGUAUCAGAAGUGCGAAUGCUGACAUGAGUAACGACAAUGGGUGUGAAAAACACCCACGCCGAAAGACCAAGGGUUCCUGCGCAACGUUAAUCGACGCAGGGUUAGUCGGUUCCUAAGGCGAGGCUGAAAAGCGUAGUCGAUGGGAAACAGGUUAAUAUUCCUGUACUUCUGGUUACUGCGAUGGAGGGACGGAGAAGGCUAGGCCAGCUUGGCGUUGGUUGUCCAAGUUUAAGGUGGUAGGCUGAAAUCUUAGGUAAAUCCGGGGUUUCAAGGCCGAGAGCUGAUGACGAGUCGUCUUUUAGAUGACGAAGUGGUUGAUGCCAUGCUUCCAAGAAAAGCUUCUAAGCUUCAGGUAACCAGGAACCGUACCCCAAACCGACACAGGUGGUCGGGUAGAGAAUACCAAGGCGCUUGAGAGAACUCGGGUGAAGGAACUAGGCAAAAUGGCACCGUAACUUCGGGAGAAGGUGCGCCGGCUAGGG
RNAcentral lists this ribosomal RNA (1585 nucleotides) under Pseudomonas aeruginosa. Its description in RNAcentral is "partial 23S ribosomal RNA". It matches the Rfam family "Bacterial large subunit ribosomal RNA", at positions 122 to 1760 of the family's 2925-position model. The record is from RNAcentral. Lineage: Bacteria; Pseudomonadati; Pseudomonadota; Gammaproteobacteria; Pseudomonadales; Pseudomonadaceae.